Molecule: long non-coding RNA, 5926 nt
Organism: Panicum virgatum (switchgrass)
Lineage: Eukaryota; Viridiplantae; Streptophyta; Magnoliopsida; Poales; Poaceae
Exons: 2
Source: RefSeq, a predicted model, not a curated record
AAGUCGCAGUUUCCCCUCCGCGCCGGGCCCUUCUCGGCGGCGCGCCGCGGCGGCGGCGGAGGCGCAUGUCUACGUGGAAGCAGGAGGGCGGUGGCAAGGGGUUCCCGCUGCCUCGCGCUUGUGGAUCGCCGCGUAACCUGCUGUGAGUGGUUAGACUGACCGAGGCAAGCGGGAGUCGUGCGCCGUUCACCACGUGUUCGACGAAAUGCGCCCUGGAAGCUUUGAGGUUUCGCAGAUUCUAGUGUGGCACGAGUAGGAUUCGGAUGAUCUUCGCAAUGGUUAUUUUGGACUUUUGCUGUGGGUUUAAUUUUGUUUUCGCAUACAGGAGUAAUAAAUUGGAAAAAAGACCAGUGGUAAUUUCCGUUAGUUUAUGUGGUGCCUCAUAGAUACCUACUAAGAUACCUACUAGUGACGCAUAAAGAGAUGGAACACGAAUAUUUUAGCGCUGCACAUAUGUACACAUCAUACACUCGUACAUAUUUUCUUUUAUGAAAUCCUAGUACAUUUUUAAGCUGUGUGGUUUGUGGAGAUUUGGAGAAGAUGACUUCUAUGUGAUUACAACUUGCUGCUGCAAAUCUGGCAACGUUGACUUAUCUGCCUGUUUUACCAAAAAAAGCCACUGUUGUCUUGUCAACCUUAUCUCCAACAUCUUGAACUAGUGGAACAUCUCCAUUCCAUCACGUGGUAGAAGUUAUGUUUUAUUUUUUUUUCUCCGCGAUGUGUAUUAUUGCUGAAUUGCUAAGGGUGCUUAUUUGAGUUAGAAUAGGUGGCAGAUUUUCUACUUCUGAACAGAGAUAUGUCUGUUCUGUUUUCUUUGGUUGAAAGAGGUACUCAAAGUUCAGUUUUAUUAUAGCUUCGACUUGGUGUAAGUAGUGCUCCCUGGAAACACAAUUACGUGUCGUAUUGGACAUGGAAGCGACUCAUACACAAAAUGGAGCAUUAAUUCAUAUUUUAAUAUAUCUUUGAAACAAACAAUAUUUUGAAGCACAUUUCAAGACAAAUCUGCAGAGAUCAUUUUCACAUGUUCCAUUAAUCAAUCUCAAUGUGCAAAAGACAUCACUAGAGGAAAUUAAAAAAAUGUGGUUUUCAUGCAUUCCAGAUACCAUUAUUAUGGCUGAGGGAGUAUCAGAGUUAUUCACAAGUUUUGUGAUCACUAGCUUACGAAUCUGAUAAAGUUGCUUAAGCACAUUCAAACCUCUGGAUCAAUUUCAUUGUUUGCUUCAUGUGCUAGAAAGAAAGAAUGUUAUUUAGGUCAUAUUCAUUUUAUAUGUAUGAUCUGCCCUGUGAAAUAUACAACUAUAGUAAGCCUAAAUAUAUUGUAACCAAUUCCCACAUGUUUUUCUGCUCCUCCUUUUUCCUAGCAGGCAUGCAUUUUCACAAUUGAGGAUACAGUGACAUUUAUUUUCUGUAAAUUAUGAUGAAAAUCUAGAUGAGCUACUUUUUUUAAGCUGGGGUAAUUAUUAGUUCAAAGUUACAUCAUUAUGAGCAGAAUGCCCAAUAAUGCCUAUCUUUGUUACUGGGUGGUAGGGUCCAGAUUCUCUUUUAAGAAAAAUACAAAUGGUAGAAUACGAAAACAGAACAGUUUAUAGGAUGGUACUGACCUACCAGCAAAAAGAAUUAUUCAAAUUCAACUCCUAUUAUAAUAUUCAUAUGCUAGAAAAACAGAAUUCUGACAAUUCUCCUCAUCCUAUAUAUUAGCUGGACUUGUCAGCGUCAUGUUUCUUCUCAGCAAACUGCUCCCUUCUCAGUUUACACCUGGCACAAAUGUUUCUUGACUAGAUCUAUUAUAUGAGUGCCGCUAAAAGUUUCAGAACUUUUGUGCAGAUUCAAAUAUUGGUUUUGCUUAUUCUAUAAUAUUUUCAUUUCUUCAGGUCUUUUGAAUGAUUCGCAAAAUCUAAUUGACAGGAAAGAGUUGUGUGCGGUGUAUCCUAGUAUUGUGAUGCUUCUUUCUUUCUUUCCCAAAUAAAUCAAAAUGUGCUGAUGGUAAAGAAACAUGUGGCAUGUGGCAUGUGGCAUGUGAAGAAUGUUCUCCAUAAAAGUCUUAACAACAUAACUUUCUGCAGGCCAGUAAUGCAUUUCAUUUUUUCCGUUCCAGAUUUUUUUUAAUUCUCAGCUUUGAAUUUUGAAGGUGUAAAAUUAAACAUGUAUAUAUGGAGCCAUGGCAACUGUAGUUGAGAAACCUAUAGAGAACUUCAUACUGUUCUAAACUUUCCAUUCCCACACCCACGACUCCUAGAUUUAUGCUUAUUUCCUUUCCCAUAAUAUAUUAAUAUUACCAGUUUCUAACUUCACCUGAUCUGUCAUUCAUGCCUAACAUAAUCUUGAAAUCUUGUGGUAUGGCAUUUAGCCCCCAAAUAAGUGGCUGUGGCUCAACCCUUCAUCCUACCCCUAGGUUACCUUAUCCACUAGCUCAGAGUUAGUGUAUUCGCUGUUUCCGUCUGUCCUUUUGUUGUCUCUUUUAAAGCAUCCUGUUGCUAUGGGCGUGUGCUACUUGCAUCCACUUAUUGCAUGUUUUGGUGAUCACAUCCUCAUCUUACGAUAUUAUCCAAGUAAAACCUAAAUAAGAUCUUACCUCUGAAAAUAGAAUUUUCCAUUAUAAUCUUUCUGGGGAUUUGUUUUGCAUUUUGACUUUUUUUUUCAAUUAUUCAUUCCAUUGUUAUCAUAGGACUUUUCUCAUUUGAUUGUAAAAUUUGAUAUUUGUCUUGAUCAUCUUUUAACUCUGUCUUCACAGCAGAAGACCCCCAGAGGUAUUUUAUUUUCUCAAAUAUCUUGGCCUAUAUUUUUCCUAAUAAAUUAGGGAAAGGUGCAAUAGUGGAAAAAGGAAGUGAUAGUUUAGAUCUUCCUAUUACUUUCAUCUAGCUGAGUGCCAUUGAGAAGCUCAUUUCACUAUACUGACUAUGCAAGUAAAUUUCUCCUUUUGUUAGAAGCGAUUGGCAUGAUUAUCAUACUUCAGCUUGCACUUGAUGUUCUUCAUUCAUAACUAUUUAGUUGAUUUUGUCCUCAACCAUACAUAACUUUUUGGAUUUUGUAUUUCUCUUUUUUACCUUUAUGUUUAAAUAAGUCUUUGUGGUCAUAGAUUCAGAAUUAGCAGAUGUUAUUUGUUGCUUGAAUCUUCUGGUUUUAUUCUUGAAAAUAUGUUGGAUUGUGUGUGGCAGCAGGCCUUCAAAACUAACCGUUUGACAUUGCAUCAUGCUUAUGCUAUUUUCUUUUUCUGUACUGGCCUAUUAUGUUUGUACUGUAAUAUUUAUUAUACAUAUAUACAUCUCACAUGAUCCCCUCACCCACAUAAACACACACACGAGGGUCCAUGUAGGCAUGGAGCACAGUGUCUUUUUGCACAAAGCCAUGAUCCCAUUGGAUUUGCAGAGCCUUCUGAAAGCUACAUUUUUGUUUGGGACAAGUCUAUCAUUGAGCUGGGCGCCUUACAUCUUGUGACAGUAAAUGAAUUACUCCCACACACUCGCUCUCUCUCCAGGAGUGAUUCAAAACUAUAUACGUAUGCACCUUAACCAUCAUAUAGCCAGAAUCUGGCUGUGUUUGCGCAAACAUUAUCCAUCUGUACGAAUGGUAGUUUGAGCGCAGUCUGAAAUUUUCAUCUAUGUACUUAUGUGUGAACAUCUAGCAUGGCCUAUCUCAAUUGACAGAUUAGCAAAAAGCUGUUAUUUGGCUUACAUACUAUAUCUAGCUCUGAUUCUGUGGCAUAGUUUUCUUGCAUUGCAAGUGAGAUGAAAAUAAUAUAUGGCGUCCAGUGAAAUUUCACAUAUAGUGAGUUAUUUUCUAACAGAUUUAUCCUGUACCAGUCAAUUCCACUAAGUCAAGAGGAUCUAGCAUGCAUGUCUUGUACAAUACCAUGUGAAAAAACUACAGUAAGUGUGUUAUCUAUACAUGUUUGAAAGUUUAGAUAUUACUCUGAGGCGCGGUAGGUUUCCUAGAAUAAGCUAACUUUUAGUAAGUUAAAUAUGUUUCAUUAGGAUCAUUCUCGUCCUAAUUGCCCAAGUUCUAUAAGUGAAGUUCUGAUUCCUGUCCACGUUGUUCAUCAAUGAAUGAAGAGGCAAGGACUGUACUAAUUGCUGCAUUGGAGCAUCAUUUUGCUCACCUUUUGAUCACGCAUCCUCUGCGUAAUCUCUGGAUGGCGCUGGAUCCAAUGUCCAAAAGACAACCUCUGCAUUCCAUCUGAAAUUCAGAUGAUUCAGAACUCUGGAACUAUGCCUGAUAAAUCUUGUGCAGAGCAAGGUGGAAAGGUGAGUAGAGAGGUGUGCUCGUGAGUAAGUUGAAACCUUAUGCUCCUCCCCAAAUAAAAUUGUAUGCAGCCCACCUGGGAUUUGGCACCCACCAUGUAUCCCUCUGCACCUACUUCUUCUAAAGCUGAUAUUAAUGUGCCGGAAAUUGAAUUGCAGAUCUCCACUCUACCACUUGCCUGCUGAUCUCUGAUUGUCUGCAUUGCAUGGCGUUGCCGGUUGAUCGGGCAGCCUUGUCAAUUUCUGUAUUCUUUUGUAGAUAUGACAUGUAGUGCUGCGAUGAUCUAUACAAUUCAUCUGACCAUGAGAGCGUGGUGCACGUACAUACAGAGGUGAUCAGUGGGCGCGCCCUUGCUGCAUGCAGCCUGCCUGCCUGCCCCUCUUGCUCAAAUCUGCACCAUUAGCUAGCCUGUUUGUCCCCGUGCUGCGGUUUGUCCCCAAUGGGGAUCACGAGAGUGUGGAGGAACAAAUUGCCCAGAUUUUGGCUGCACACCCAUGGAAGGUUGUGUGCUUGUCAUGUGGGAAGAGCCGUCGCUUUCAGGGUUUAAGCAGUUUCUGCUUCUCUCCUACCGAGUCAUAGCAAUAAGAGAGGGAGGGUUGGCUGGGCUGGAUGGAUCAUAUGUGAUUGUGAGAUUAUCAAGAGGCAGGUAUGGCCAUUUUCUUGCAUGUUAGGGAGAUGCUGCGAUGUCGUUAUAGCUAAUGAACUUUGCCCUCUUUGAAUGAUGAAAGGGUAAGCUGUUGGUUGAAUGGUCAGAGGGAUGUAGAUCGGCUAGCAAAUGUACUAUGUCCUGUUUCAAAGUCAUGGGGAGGUUUUGGCACAUAUACGUAUGGCCAUGACUCACAUGAUCCGUAAAAUUAGGAGAAUUAUUUUUUGCAUUUGUAAUGUACAACUGUCACGACACCUGGUUGAUGUUUGUGCAGGCGCAGAAAACACUUGUUGAUCAAAGUCAGGUUUUUCUUUCAGAUAAUCUCAGGAGCUCUGACGUUCACUUAAGAAACGGUGUGGGCACUCAAGUCAAUUCAAUCUCCUUUGGAAGUGUCCGUCCUAAGGCCAAUGCUAGCUUGAUUUAGCUGUGGACUAUGGUAGAGGCAAAACUAGUACUCCAUUCUGUUUGGCUGUUUGCUGCUGUCACUAAAUCCAAAAGGCAUGCUUGCAUGGGUCCCAAGGCGCAUGAAGUGUCUCAGAGAGAGGAGAGAGAGGGGAUUCGGAGGGUGUGUUUGGCCUCAGUGAGACCUAUCGAUGAUCCAGCUGCUGAAAUCACUCAGAUCCUACACAGGACUCCGACCGCUCUGAAGCACUCCGGCUUUUGUUCAACCGAUCUGUCGUUUAUACCUCAGUAUGGCAACGUGCAUGUCCCUAAUUGCAAGAGAGAGCAAGGAGAACAUCGAUGGCAUGUGAGAGCGAGUUAGUUAUUAUCUAACCCUAGAUGUGACCAUGUCAUGGUACCAGUGACCUACUAGACGUACAAUGAUUGUUGAUGGACUGGCUUUCUUGUCUGAGAAUGGUGUAAUUCAUAAUAGACUGUUUCUUUUCAUUUUAAAAAAGAGAUUUACUCCUUUUAAGAUGACUUAGAUCUUGUAUUUGUGUAAGUCACCAACGUGAACCGUUGGAUCCCGUCCAGGAUCGAUCUGUGUGUCUUGUUUUGUUUUUGUUUUUUUUAAAAAGGCUCAAACAUCUUUAAUGAGGA